AGCCUUUAGCAAACAAAGUAUUAAAGGUCUUGCCUGCCCAGUGAAUCAACAGUUUAACGGCCGCGGUAUCCUAACCGUGCAAAGGUAGCGUAAUCACUUGUCUUCCAAAUAGAGACCUGUAUGAACGGCCCCAUGAGGGCCUAACUGUCUCCCUUGGCCACUCAAUGAACCUGAUCUCCCAGUACAAAAGCUGGGAUAAACCCACAAGACGAGAAGACCCCGUGGAGCUUAAGACCCACCACUAUCAAACUCAUAGUGCCUAUCUUCAGUUGGGGCGACUGCGGAAAAAACAAAACCUCCACGCACACCACAACGGUCAACACACCACCGUAUCAAGCACAUGACCCAGUAAAACUGAUUAACGAACCAAGUUACCCCGGGGAUAACAGCGCCAUCCUCUUUUAGAGCCCCUAUCGCCGAGAGGGUUUACGACCUCGAUGUUGGAUCAGGACCCCCAGGUGGUGCAGCCGCUACCAAUGGUUCGUUUGUUCAACGAUUAAAGUCCU
Molecule: ribosomal RNA, 506 nt
Filed under: Gonatodes albogularis (yellow-headed gecko)
Lineage: Eukaryota; Metazoa; Chordata; Lepidosauria; Squamata; Sphaerodactylidae
Description: partial 16S ribosomal RNA
Rfam family: Bacterial large subunit ribosomal RNA
Source: RNAcentral